This 828-nucleotide ribosomal RNA is filed under the name uncultured bacterium. RNAcentral's name for it is "bacterial SSU rRNA". It matches the Rfam family "Bacterial small subunit ribosomal RNA", at positions 22 to 852 of the family's 1533-position model. The record is from RNAcentral.
GCUCAGGAUGAACGCUAGCGGGAGGCCUAACACAUGCAAGUCGAACGGGAUUGAGAGCUUGCUCUCAUGAGAGUGGCGCACGUGUGAGUAACGCGUAUGCAACCUACCUUUAACUGAGGGAUAGCCCAUAGAAAUGUGGAUUAAUACCUCAUAGUUCUUUUGGCCCGCAUGGGCUGAUAGAUAAAGCUCCGGCGGUUAAAGAUGGGCAUGCGUGACAUUAGCUAGUUGGUAAGGUAACGGCUUACCAAGGCUACGAUGUCUAGGGGUUCUGAGAGGAUGAUCCCCCACACUGGUACUGAGACACGGACCAGACUCCUACGGGAGGCAGCAGUGAGGAAUAUUGGUCAAUGGGCGCAAGCCUGAACCAGCCAUCCCGCGUGAAGGAUGAAGGUCCUAUGGAUUGUAAACUUCUUUUAUACACCAAGAAAAACACCCACGUGUGGGUGCCCGACGGUAGUGUAUGAAUAAGCAUCGGCUAACUCCGUGCCAGCAGCCGCGGUAAUACGGAGGAUGCAAGCGUUAUCCGGAUUCAUUGGGUUUAAAGGGUGCGUAGGCGGCUUUUUAAGUCAGUGGUGAAAUCUUGCCGCUCAACGGUAAAAUUGCCAUUGAUACUGAAAAGCUUGAGUACAUUUGAGGUAAGCGGAAUGUGUAGUGUAGCGGUGAAAUGCUUAGAUAUUACACAGAACACCGAUUGCGAAGGCAGCUUACUAAACUGUAACUGACGCUGAUGCACGAAAGCGUGGGGAGCGAACAGGAUUAGAUACCCUGGUAGUCCACGCCGUAAACGAUGUUCACUCGCUGUGUGCGAUACACAGCAAGCGGCCAAGC